This 252-nucleotide ribosomal RNA is filed under the name uncultured bacterium. RNAcentral describes it as "partial 16S ribosomal RNA". It matches the Rfam family "Bacterial small subunit ribosomal RNA", at positions 524 to 776 of the family's 1533-position model. The record is from RNAcentral.
UACGGAGGAUGCGAGCGUUAUCCGGAUUUAUUGGGUUUAAAGGGUGCGUAGGCGGACUGUCAAGUCAGCGGUAAAAUUGAGAGGCUCAACCUCUUCCCGCCGUUGAAACUGGUGGUCUUGAGUGGAUGAGAAGUACGCGGAAUGCGUGGUGUAGCGGUGAAAUGUAUAGAUAUCACGCAGAACUCCGAUUGCGAAGGCAGCGUACCGGCAUCCAACUGACGCUGAGGCACGAAAGCGUGGGGAUCAAACAGG